Molecule: long non-coding RNA, 365 nt
Organism: Prunus dulcis (almond)
Lineage: Eukaryota; Viridiplantae; Streptophyta; Magnoliopsida; Rosales; Rosaceae
Exons: 2
Source: RefSeq, a predicted model, not a curated record
UAAACAUUGACCGGAGGUUUGGAGAGUUUUUUCCAGGUACAAAAAUCCCCAGUGCCUUGUGUAGUGCCUAUAUCAAACCGCCCCCGUCAUUUCUCCAUUCCAGUUUGCCUUGCCCUAAACAACAACUGCAAAACAAAACCACCGCCAACCACAAGUCAUUCUUCUAUGCGGCAGUCCGGCAGCACACUCACAAGGGUGGGAUCAAGUCGUAUGGCCACGUGGUCCAGACUACCGUUACCGUAUAUAAGAAUUUCUACAACCACAGCAGCCUUUGCCGCCGAUGUUGACGAUGGAGCCACAACACAACUGAUAUUUGAACCAAACUGAAAUAAUGAUAAUAAUAAAGGAUUGUUUGCUUCUUGUCA